RNAcentral lists this ribosomal RNA (911 nucleotides) under Fomitopsis juniperina. RNAcentral describes it as "LSU rRNA". It matches the Rfam family "Eukaryotic large subunit ribosomal RNA", at positions 46 to 941 of the family's 3401-position model. Lineage: Eukaryota; Fungi; Basidiomycota; Agaricomycetes; Polyporales; Fomitopsidaceae. The record is from RNAcentral.
AUAAGCGGAGGAAAAGAAACUAACAAGGAUUCCCCUAGUAACUGCGAGUGAAGCGGGAAAAGCUCAAAUUUAAAAUCUGGCGGUCUUUGGCCGUCCGAGUUGUAGUCUGGAGAAGUGCUUUCCGCGCUGGACCGUGUACAAGUCUCUUGGAACAGAGCGUCAUAGAGGGUGAGAAUCCCGUCUUUGACACGGACUACCAGUGCUUUGUGAUGCGCUCUCAAAGAGUCGAGUUGUUUGGGAAUGCAGCUCAAAAUGGGUGGUAAAUUCCAUCUAAAGCUAAAUAUUGGCGAGAGACCGAUAGCGAACAAGUACCGUGAGGGAAAGAUGAAAAGCACUUUGGAAAGAGAGUUAAACAGUACGUGAAAUUGCUGAAAGGGAAACGCUUGAAGUCAGUCGCGUUGGCCAGGACUCAGCCUUGCUUUUUUGCUUGGUGCACUUUCUGGUUGACGGGCCAGCAUCGAUUUUGACCGCUGGAAAAAGGUUGGGGGAAUGUGGCACCUUCGGGUGUGUUAUAGCCCUCAGUCACAUACGGUGGUUGGGAUCGAGGACCGCAGCACGCCUUUAUGGCCGGGGUUCGCCCACGUUCGUGCUUAGGAUGCUGGCGUAAUGGCUUUAAACGACCCGUCUUGAAACACGGACCAAGGAGUCUAACAUGCCUGCGAGUGUUUGGGUGGAAAACCCGAGCGCGUAAUGAAAGUGAAAGUUGAGAUCCCUGUCGUGGGGAGCAUCGACGCCCGGACCUGAACUUCGGUGAUGGCUCUGCGGUAGAGCAUGUAUGUUGGGACCCGAAAGAUGGUGAACUAUGCCUGAAUAGGGUGAAGCCAGAGGAAACUCUGGUGGAGGCUCGUAGCGAUUCUGACGUGCAAAUCGAUCGUCAAAUUUGGGUAUAGGGGCGAAAGACUAAUCGAACC